This is a non-coding RNA of Pelodiscus sinensis (Chinese soft-shelled turtle), 487 nucleotides long. The record is from RefSeq and is a predicted model, not a curated record. Lineage: Eukaryota; Metazoa; Chordata; Testudines; Trionychidae.
AUCUCUCCUGAGGACGUAUGAGCGCACAGCUGCCUGGGCACACUGGAGCCUGAGCCGGUGGAGGACUGUGUGCAGAACACACUCUCGGCCCUGUACCCACCCUUUGCAGCCACGGCGCCCACGCUGCUGGGGCAGGUGUUUGAGGUGGUGGAGCGGACCUACCGGGAGGAUGCCCUGCGCUACACCCUCGAAUUCCUCAUACCUGCCAAGCACAUCUUGGCACGCAUCCAGCAGGAGGCCUGUGCCCAGUACCAGGGCCUCGUGUUCUGUCACGAGGGCUGUCUGUCCGUCUGUGGGCCAGGCCUGGGGAGGGGCUUCUCUGUCUGUCUGUGGCCCUGACUCAGUUUCUCUCCCCCACAGGCCCAGUACCAGGGCCUCGUGUUCUGUCACGAGGGCUGUCUGUCUGUCUGUGGGCCAGGCCUGGGGAGGGGCUUCUCUGUCUGUCUGUGGCCCUGACUCAGUUUCUCUCCCCCCACAGGCCCAGUAC